AUGUCUGAGGAGUGGGAGGAAUUAUUUCCCCUGGUUUCUAUUAGGAAAUUGGUUCGUGAGAUUUCGGACCAUAACCCUUUGCUGAUUAACUCUAGGGAAGAGCAGCGAGAGGCUCCCAAACCUCGCGAAUUUCGUUUUGACCUUUCUUGGGUCAAGGACGAACGCUUUCUUCCUUUGGUCAGUAAAAUCUGGGCUCCCCAUCGAUAUCCUGAAUAUUAA
RNAcentral lists this ribosomal RNA (219 nucleotides) under Triticum aestivum (bread wheat). RNAcentral describes it as "partial small subunit ribosomal RNA". The record is from RNAcentral. Lineage: Eukaryota; Viridiplantae; Streptophyta; Magnoliopsida; Poales; Poaceae.